This 253-nucleotide ribosomal RNA is filed under the name uncultured bacterium. RNAcentral describes it as "partial 16S ribosomal RNA". It matches the Rfam family "Bacterial small subunit ribosomal RNA", at positions 524 to 776 of the family's 1533-position model. The record is from RNAcentral.
UACGUAGGGGGCAAGCGUUAUCCGGAUUUACUGGGUGUAAAGGGAGCGUAGACGGCUGUGCAAGCCAGAUGUGAAAGCCCGGGGCUCAACCCCGGGACUGCAUUUGGAACUGUGUGGCUGGAGUGUCGGAGAGGCAGGCGGAAUUCCUAGGGUAGCGGUGAAAUGCGUAGAUAUUAGGAGGAACACCAGUGGCGAAGGCGGCCUGCUGGACGAUGACUGACGUUGAGGCUCGAAAGCGUGGGGAGCAAACAGG